GAUGAAGAACGUAGUGAAAUGCGAUAAGUAAUGUGAAUUGCAGAAUUCAGUGAAUCAUCGAAUCUUUGAACGCACAUUGCGCCCGCCAGUAUUCUGGCGGGCAUGCCUGUUCGAGCGUCAUUUCAACCAUCAAGCCCCCGGCUUGUGUUGGGGACCUGCGGCUGCCGCAGGCCCUGAAAAGCAGUGGCGGGCUCGCUGUCACACCGAGCGUAGUAGCAUACAUCUCGCUCUGAGCGUGCUGCGGGUUCCGGCCGUUAAACCACCUUCAUAACCCAAGGUUGACCUCGGAUCAGGUAGGAAGACCCGCUGAACUUAAGCAUAUCAAUAAGCGGAGGA
This 336-nucleotide unclassified non-coding RNA is filed under the name soil metagenome. Its description in RNAcentral is "partial contains 5.8S ribosomal RNA, internal transcribed spacer 2, and large subunit ribosomal RNA". The stretch from base 1 to 120 matches the Rfam family "5.8S ribosomal RNA", at positions 35 to 154 of the family's 154-position model. The record is from RNAcentral.